RNAcentral lists this transfer RNA (87 nucleotides) under Schlesneria paludicola. Its description in RNAcentral is "tRNA-Ser". It matches the Rfam family "tRNA". Rfam says of the family: Transfer RNA (tRNA) molecules are approximately 80 nucleotides in length. Lineage: Bacteria; Pseudomonadati; Planctomycetota; Planctomycetia; Planctomycetales; Planctomycetaceae. The record is from RNAcentral.
GGAGAGGUGACAGAGCGGCCGAUUGUGCUGGUCUCGAAAACCAGUGUGGGGGAAACUCCACCGAGGGUUCGAAUCCCUCCCUCUCCG